UCUGAAAUUAGUGGCAGCGGGUAAUGGU
RNAcentral lists this small RNA (28 nucleotides) under Bombyx mori (domestic silkworm). RNAcentral describes it as "ovarian small RNA-29908". The record is from RNAcentral. Lineage: Eukaryota; Metazoa; Arthropoda; Insecta; Lepidoptera; Bombycidae.